UCCCCGGUAGCUCAAUGGUAGAGCGGGUGGCUGUUAACCACUAGGUUGUAGGUUCGAGUCCUGCCCGGGGAGCCA
RNAcentral lists this transfer RNA (75 nucleotides) under Candidatus Aerophobetes bacterium Ae_b3b. RNAcentral describes it as "tRNA-Asn". It matches the Rfam family "tRNA". From Rfam's summary of the family: Transfer RNA (tRNA) molecules are approximately 80 nucleotides in length. Their secondary structure includes four short double-helical elements and three loops (D, anti-codon, and T loops). Further hydrogen bonds mediate the characteristic L-shaped molecular structure. tRNAs have two regions of fundamental functional importance: the anti-codon, which is responsible for specific mRNA codon recognition, and the 3' end, to which the tRNAs corresponding amino acid is attached (by aminoacyl-tRNA synthetases). tRNAs cope with the degeneracy of the genetic code in two manners: having more than one tRNA (with a specific anti-codon) for a particular amino acid; and 'wobble' base-pairing, i.e. permitting non-standard base-pairing at the 3rd anti-codon position. RNAcentral also lists the same sequence under 3 other names. The record is from RNAcentral. Lineage: Bacteria; Candidatus Aerophobota.